Molecule: ribosomal RNA, 400 nt
Filed under: phytoplankton environmental sample
Lineage: Eukaryota
Description: partial small subunit ribosomal RNA
Rfam family: Eukaryotic small subunit ribosomal RNA
Source: RNAcentral
AGCUCCAAUAGCGUAUAUUAAAGUUGCUGCAGUUAAAAAGCUCGUAGUUGGAUUUGUGGGAUGGCCGUCCGGCGGGGGGCCAUUUAUUGGUCCCGUUUGUCCUGGUUUUCGGCCUUCCCUUUCUCGGGUCUAGCGUAUUGGCUGGCAUUAGGUUGUCGGCCGCUUCGCGCCCGUCGUUUACUGUGAAAAAAUUAGAGUGCUCAAAGCAGGCUUUACACGCUUGAAUAUUCGUGCAUGGAAUAAUAGAAUAGGAUGUGAUUUCUAUUUUGUUGGUUUUCGGAAAUUCACAUAAUGAUUAAUAGGGACAGUCGGGGGCAUUAGUAUUCAGACGAUAGAGGUGAAAUUCUUGGACCGUCUGAGGACUAACUACUGCGAAAGCAUUUGCCAAGAAUGUUUUCAU